Mus caroli (Ryukyu mouse) is the source of this 1542-nucleotide non-coding RNA. NCBI's taxonomy places the organism in Eukaryota, Metazoa, Chordata, Mammalia, Rodentia, Muridae. The record is from RefSeq and is a predicted model, not a curated record.
AAAAAAAAAUUCAUUACCGGUCGGGGAGUGUUUGUCGCGCUCUCACGAUGGCUUGGCUCUGUUCAGCCCAGCAGCCUCUUGGGCCAUCUGGAGCCUCGAGCCUCUUUAGUGAGGGAAGUCGGGCCGCAGGUGGUGGGCAAGCAGAGCCUCUGGAUGGACCCUUCCUCAGAAGCUUCGCUAAUUUGCAGAAGCUGGGCAAUGCUCCUUAUUAACAUCUGUCUGUCCGCAUAGUCCGGGCGUCAUUUCACUGUGCUCUUGCUCCCAGUGGGCCUCUAGGCAAGAUGUCCCUGCCCAUCGGGAUGUGCCGUCAAGUAUUCAGCUAUGAUGCCCUAGAGGACCCUGCGCCCAUGACUCCUCCUCCAUCGGACAUGGGCAGCAUCCCCUGGAAGCCAGUGAUUCCAGAGUGCAAGUAUCAGCAUCUUGACCAGACAGAGGAGGGCGCGGCCAGUGUCUCUUCCCUUGCUGGGACUCUAUCACCAGCUACUGACAGUUCAGACAAGGCCCCUGUGGUGAAGGCUAAAGCUAGCUCUGUCAUCAUGAGUUCCCUGAUCACAAAGCAGACACAGGAGAGCAUCCAGCGUUUUGAACAACAGGCAGGACUGAGAGAUGCUGGCUACACACCCCAUAAGGGCCUUACCAUGGAAGAGACCAAGUACCUUCUAGUGGCAGAAGCUAAAGCUGCAGAGUGGAGAGACAGCAAAAAGAAGAGAAGCACCCUGCAUCAGCCCAGUCCACCCCGAGCAGUACCCCUCACACUUCCCCUAAGCAGAAGUCAGAGGCCGGUUCCCAUCUGGCUCCUCCACAGCCUUAUCUGCUCCAAAUCCUCAUACCAUGGAUCCUGGGAGUGGAAAUGAUAGGAACUCAGCAGACAAAUGGAGCCUCUUUGGACCACGACCCCUGCAGAAAUCAGAUUCUGGUUUUGCUAUUCAGGUUUACAAAGGUGCCCCCAAGACCCUCUCCUAUGGAGAUGGGGUGUGCCCAGGCCACACGAGUGGGUGAAGAUCCAGCAACCUUCAAGCCACCAAAGAUGGAUGUCCCAAUGGUAGAAGGAAAGAAGCAACCACUUCGAACCCAUAAUCUCAAACCCCGUGACCUGAAUGUGCUCACACCCACUGGCUUCUAGAAUGCUCUGUCCAGGGUCUGCAACUUCCCUGGGCUCUGACAUAGGAGUGAUGUGGCUAACUGAGGCCUGAGUGAGUGUGCAGAUUGUCCUUGGGUGAGUGAGAAAAAACACUGCUUUCAGGUUGGUGGAAAAUGUCAGUGGUGUAGCGUUGAGGACCUCACUAUUUUUUUUUUUAAAUCAUUUAUCCUAGAGAAGGACUCUGAUCCUUGCUUUCCUAGGUAAAUUAUGCUGGAGUGCUUCCAAUACUAAGGCCUCUUGAUUCUUUUCCCUUGAUCACUAUGAACACUGACAAAUCAAGGUAGAGGUGCCCACCAACCAGCUUGCACAGCAGAGGCCUCCUGACAUGCAUUAGCCUGGACUUCUCGAGAGCUGGGCACAGCUUGUAGGACCCUGGCUUUCUAAGCUGAACCACAGAUUGU